UUCAUGGCCAGUGCAAAGGGGCUCUUUCCCCCUGCCUGCCUGUGAGAAGCUCUUGCCGGUGCCGCUGGUCUCUUGCCGCCCUCCUGGCCAAGGACUUCUUGGCUCCGGCGCAGUUGCACGUGGUGGUGCCGCUGCCCAUCGUUGGCCAUGGAAUUGCAGGAAAAAGCAUGAGCCAAGAUGACAAGCCCAGCCGAGCAUCAAAUCCUGAAAUGUGAGGUCUAUACAUACCAAGCAUGUUCCUACCGGAAGCCUGAGGAAAUCAGUUCUCCUGCCUUCAGUUCCUUGCACAUGCAUGGACAUCCAGAAACUGCACUUGACUGCAUGUUUACUUUCCAGUCCACCCUUUCCCUUCUAACAUAUAGCAUGCCAAAAUUCUGGAGAUGUUAAGGUACCACACACUCAGCUGUGGGGUUCAUCAGAAAUAGGCCAGAGUGCUCUAGACAGUUCCACAUCCUUACCAGUGACUCUCAGGCACUGAUGUGUAUCAGUUUUCUCUCUUAAGAAUGCUUCUGGGCAAAGUUAGGGCACCUAUCUCCUGCCUCUCUUCUGUAUAAGAGUAGAAAAUCUGGCAAGGAGAUAACGGGUCACAACAUUACCAAUACACUGAUAAUGCCUAGAUAUUGAUCUUUAUUGUAUUUUGCUCUGAUAACGCCAUUGCAGAGAUGUGGAAGAGUGAGCUAAGUGUAUUUCCAGCUGUACGAACGGAAAAGUUAAAUUACCAGUUGUCAGAACUCCUA
Molecule: long non-coding RNA, 737 nt
Filed under: Gallus gallus (chicken)
Lineage: Eukaryota; Metazoa; Chordata; Aves; Galliformes; Phasianidae
Source: RNAcentral